CUUCGCUGCUCCCGACGCGAAUGAUGUACGUCACCACUCGCUCUCUGGCGAGCUCUCUGCACUACUUCACCGCUUUUUUCCGCAAGGGUGGAUAACAGCCCAGGAAGAGGCGAACAUCAUUGUAAGUUGGGGCAUGUACAGAGCUGCAGUGUUACAACGUUUCGACUCGUGCCAGGACAGUGAAGACAUGACCCUCACCGUUAGAUUCAACAUGGUCCCUUCAAGUGGUGUGCCUGAAGAUGACUCUGAGGAGUUAUUGUUUUCUCACUCUUCUGGAGACAUCAGCAAUGUCAGCAAACAUCUCAUAAGAUGGACAUAUCAUGUGUGACAUGUACCACACACUUUGUUUUGCCAGUUUUUUGUCCUACACAGUAAUUAUAUCUAUGCAAUUAAGCUUAAUACCAUAGUUUAGCCAUUGAAACAUCAGGUAAGAUUUUUACAAUUCAUUGUGUGUGGUGAUAAAAUAUAAAAUCACACUCACAGCCCAUACAAGUUAUGAUAGUUAAGUUAUGAACACUAAUGCAGGUAAAUGACUGUCACCUUUCACAGUGGGAAUAAAGUAAGCUUGUACUCUG
Acanthopagrus latus (yellowfin seabream) is the source of this 575-nucleotide long non-coding RNA. RefSeq lists it as uncharacterized. NCBI's taxonomy places the organism in Eukaryota, Metazoa, Chordata, Actinopteri, Spariformes, Sparidae. The transcript has 2 exons. The record is from RefSeq and is a predicted model, not a curated record.